UACGGAGGGGGCUAGCGUUGUUCGGAAUUACUGGGCGUAAAGCGCACGUAGGCGGAUUGUUAAGUCGGGGGUGAAAUCCCGGGGCUCAACCCCGAAACUGCCUUAGAAACUGGCAAUCUAGAGUUCUGGAGAGGUGAGUGGAAUUCCGGGUGUAGAGGUGAAAUUCGUAGAGAUUCGGAGGAAUACCUGUGGCGAAGGCGGCUCACUGGACAGACACUGACGCUCAGGUGCGAAAGCGUGGGGAGCAAACAGG
This 253-nucleotide ribosomal RNA is filed under the name uncultured bacterium. RNAcentral's name for it is "partial 16S ribosomal RNA". It matches the Rfam family "Bacterial small subunit ribosomal RNA", at positions 524 to 776 of the family's 1533-position model. The record is from RNAcentral.